UGUAAAGAAAGUUUCCACUGUGACGUUAAUUAACAAGCCUUGUAUUUUCUCUGCGGAGGCGUCAGCAAUGGGGUCAGGGACGAAUACCUCUGCUCCACUGCAGUCAAGGGUCUGAAAAUAUUGACUGUUAAAAUCCUCUGCUCUUAAACUGGAUGGGCUGCUGGUGUUAGUUUAGUUGCUGGUGUUAGUUUAACUGGUGGUGGUGUUAGUUUAGCUGGUGGUGGUGUUAGUUUAGCUGGUGGUGGUGUUAGUUUAGCUGGUGGUGGUGUUAGUUUAGCUGGUGGUGGUGUUAGUUUAGCUGGUGGUGGUGUUAGUUUAGCUGGUGGUGGUGUUAGUUUAGCUGGUGGUGGUGUUAGUUUAGCUGGUGGUGGUGUUAGUUUAGCUGGUGGUGUUAGUUUAGCUGGUGGUGUUAGUUUAGCUGGUGGUGGUGUUAGUUUAGCUGGUGGUGGUGUUAGUUUAGCUGGUGGUGGUGUUAGUUUAGCUGGUGGUGGUGUUAGUUUAGCUGGUGGUGGUGUUAGUUUAGCUGGUGGUGGUGUUAGUUUAGCUGGUGGUGUCAGUUUAGUUGGUGGUGGUGUUAGUUUAACUGGUGGUGGUGUUAGUUUAGCUGGUGGUGGUGUUAGUUUAACUGGUGGUGGUGUUAGUUUAGCUGGUGGUGUUAGUUUAGCUGGUGGUGUUAGUUUAGCUGGUGGUGUUAGUUUAACUGGUGUUAGUUUAGCUGGUGGUGGUGUUAGUUUAGCUGCUGGUGGUGUUAGUUUAGCUGGUGGUGUUAGUUUAACUGGUGGUGGUGUUAGUUUAGCUGGUGGUGUUAGUUUAGCUGGUGGUGUUAGUUUAGCUGGUGGUGUUAGUUUAACUGGUGUUAGUUUAGCUGGUGGUGGUGUUAGUUUAGCUGGUGGUGGUGUUAGUUUAGCUGGUGGUGGUGUUAGUUUAGCUGGUGGUGGUGUUAGUUUAACUGGUGGUGGUGUUAGUUUAGCUGGUGGUGUUAGUUUAGCUGGUGGUGUUAGUUUAGCUGGUGGUGGUGUUAGUUUAGCUGGUGGUGUUAGUUUAGCUGGUGGUGUUAGUUUAGCUGGUGGUGGUGUUAGUUUAGCUGGUGGUGUUAGUUUAGCUGGUGGUGGUGUUAGUUUAGCUGCUGGUGGUGUUAGUUUAACUGGUGGUGGUGUUAGUUUAGCUGGUGGUGGUGUUAGUUUAGCUGGUGGUGUUAGUUUAGCUGGUGGUGGUGUUAGUUUAGCUGGUGGUGGUGUUAGUUUAACUGGUGGUGCAGUUUGUUUAGCUGGU
Molecule: long non-coding RNA, 1272 nt
Filed under: Salmo salar (Atlantic salmon)
Lineage: Eukaryota; Metazoa; Chordata; Actinopteri; Salmoniformes; Salmonidae
Description: lncRNA (ENSSSAG00000102294.1)
Source: RNAcentral